RNAcentral lists this ribosomal RNA (253 nucleotides) under uncultured bacterium. Its description in RNAcentral is "partial 16S ribosomal RNA". It matches the Rfam family "Bacterial small subunit ribosomal RNA", at positions 524 to 776 of the family's 1533-position model. The record is from RNAcentral.
UACGGAGGGUGCGAGCGUUGUCCGGAAUCACUGGGCGUAAAGGGCGCGUAGGCGGCCGAGCAAGGUCGCGGUGAAAGCCAGGGGCUCAACCCCGGACUUGCGGUGGGUACGGGCAGACUAGAGUGUGGUAGGGGAGACUGGAAUUCCUGGUGUAGCGGUGAAAUGCGCAGAUAUCAGGAGGAACACCGAUGGCGAAGGCAGGUCUCUGGGCCACUACUGACGCUGAGAAGCGAAAGCGUGGGGAGCGAACAGG